Molecule: long non-coding RNA, 691 nt
Organism: Asparagus officinalis (garden asparagus)
Lineage: Eukaryota; Viridiplantae; Streptophyta; Magnoliopsida; Asparagales; Asparagaceae
Exons: 2
Source: RefSeq, a predicted model, not a curated record
CUUUUAUCUUGUGGGUGGUUUCAUAUCAAGCAGGCUAUUGGCUACGCUCACACAGUCACUAGAGAGCUCUGGUUUAGAUUUGUCCCAAGCCAGCAUCUCUGUGCAGAUUAGUCUCGGCAAAAGAGCAAAGAGGCCUGCUACUACUUCCAGUGCUAAGGAUCCUGAUGACCCAUCAUCUGGUAACCGAGCGAUGGGGCACUCAAUGGUUGGGAGCAGCGGCGAGGAAUCCGAACAAGCUACAAAAAGGCAUAAACUGGAUAAUAACAGCUAAUAACUGCAUGCUCCUGAUGUUAGGGUUAUCAGUAUUGCUCUCUUGAGGAGACUUCCAUCACAAACCGAGAAGCUGCAUUGAUUUUUAGGCUUCCAUUCAUGUGAGAAUACUAGUUCACCUGGGCAUUUAACUCAAUUGUUUUUGGUGUGAAUUAUACUAACUGCAUGAUAUGGUGUGGAAUAUUAUCUCACCAUUUUUUUUCUUACUGUUUAAACAUUAUGUAUGCCAUGCUAUUUAUUAGAAAUGUAGCUGUGGAUACAGCGUAUCAGUAUCAAGGAAUGUUGUCCAUGUACCAAGGCUUGUAUUUAUGUGUUGUUCAAACAAUUGAUACUAUCUGGUCAAGGAGAGAAAAUGUGUCGAUAAUACAUUGGAACCAAAUAUAAGCGUGGUUAAUCGCAAUCUUUAUGUAGUGUGAUAAAA